UACAUGUUUUAUCAUUAAAUACCAUAACUAAAAAUCACCACACUAAAAUUAGAAAAAUAUACCUUAUAUAACAUUGCAAUACUUUAUUUAGGAGCAGAGUUAUAGGCAUAAAUACUUCUUUUCCUAUAUGCAUAUACCUUAUAUGACAUUAUAAUUAAUCCCUUAUUUGGGAGCAAAGUUAUGAGCAUAAACUUUCUGUAGGUCAUAACAAUCUCAAAUUUCUUUUGUGAAAAAAUUGUUAGCUUUUACCAGGCAAAUUUCUCCAAAUGAGUUAAAAGAAAAAUUAUCAUUUUACACCACCCACUAUAGCUUCAUGUCUAGACUUUUUUUGGGGAGCAAACUAAAUAUAUUAUUAAAGUGCAAUUUCUGCAUGCACAUUUUUAAUGCGAUUAAUUUAUCUUUUCUUCUGGUCGAAGCCGAUUUGGCUUGCACCCGAACAGUUGAAUUACUUCAAUUAAUCUAACUUAAUGCUUCAUAUUAUUAUGAAAAUUAUCU
This 495-nucleotide long non-coding RNA is filed under the name Ananas comosus (pineapple). RNAcentral's name for it is "long non-coding RNA (ACOM_LNC043648)". The record is from RNAcentral. Lineage: Eukaryota; Viridiplantae; Streptophyta; Magnoliopsida; Poales; Bromeliaceae.